Molecule: ribosomal RNA, 407 nt
Filed under: Klebsiella pneumoniae
Lineage: Bacteria; Pseudomonadati; Pseudomonadota; Gammaproteobacteria; Enterobacterales; Enterobacteriaceae
Also listed under: 1 other name
Description: bacterial SSU rRNA
Rfam family: Bacterial small subunit ribosomal RNA
Source: RNAcentral
ACUCAAAGGAGACUGCCAGUGAUAAACUGGAGGAAGGUGGGGAUGACGUCAAGUCAUCAUGGCCCUUACGACCAGGGCUACACACGUGCUACAAUGGCAUAUACAAAGAGAAGCGACCUCGCGAGAGCAAGCGGACCUCAUAAAGUAUGUCGUAGUCCGGAUUGGAGUCUGCAACUCGACUCCAUGAAGUCGGAAUCGCUAGUAAUCGUAGAUCAGAAUGCUACGGUGAAUACGUUCCCGGGCCUUGUACACACCGCCCGUCACACCAUGGGAGUGGGUUGCAAAAGAAGUAGGUAGCUUAACCUUCGGGAGGGCGCUUACCACUUUGUGAUUCAUGACUGGGGUGAAGUCGUAACAAGGUAACCGUAGGGGAACCUGCGGUUGGAUCACCUCCUUACCUUAAAGAA